Molecule: transfer RNA, 67 nt
Filed under: Caridina pseudogracilirostris
Lineage: Eukaryota; Metazoa; Arthropoda; Malacostraca; Decapoda; Atyidae
Description: tRNA-Phe
Rfam family: tRNA
About the family: Transfer RNA (tRNA) molecules are approximately 80 nucleotides in length.
Source: RNAcentral
ACUCAAGUAGCUUAGAGAUUAGAGCAUUACACUGAAGAUGUAGGGGGGACGUGUCCGUCCUUGGGUA